This 216-nucleotide ribosomal RNA is filed under the name Klebsiella pneumoniae. Its description in RNAcentral is "partial 23S ribosomal RNA". Lineage: Bacteria; Pseudomonadati; Pseudomonadota; Gammaproteobacteria; Enterobacterales; Enterobacteriaceae. The record is from RNAcentral.
AGCGUCCUCGUGAAUUCCAUCGUUCGGGGGGUAGAGCCACUGUUUUCGGCUAGGGGGUCAUUUCCCGACUUGACCAACCAGAUGCAAACUACGAAUACCGAAGAAUGUUAUCACGGGAGCGUCCUCGUGAAUUCCAUCGUUCGGGGGGUAGAGCCACUGUUUUCGGCUAGGGGGUCAUUUCCCGACUUGACCAACCAGAUGCAAACUACGAAUACC